Molecule: ribosomal RNA, 269 nt
Filed under: uncultured soil bacterium
Lineage: Bacteria
Description: partial 16S ribosomal RNA
Rfam family: Bacterial small subunit ribosomal RNA
Source: RNAcentral
AGAAUCAACGCUGGCGGCGUGCCUAACACAUGCAAGUCGAGCGCGAAAGGGGAGCAAUCCCCGAGUAGAGCGGCGAACGGGUGAGUAACGCGUGGGUAAUCUACCUCCGAGUGGGGAACAACAGCGGGAAACUGCUGCUAAUACCGCAUGACAUCGUCGAGCCUUCGGGCAUGACGAUCAAAGCCGGGGACCGCAAGGCCUGGCGCUUGGAGACGAGCCCGCGUCCGAUUAGCUAGUUGGCGGGGUAAUGGCCCACCAAGGCUCCGAUC